GAUGAACGCUGGCGGCGUGCCUAAUACAUGCAAGUCGAGCGAACAGACGAGGAGCUUGCUCCUCUGACGUUAGCGGCGGACGGGUGAGUAACACGUGGAUAACCUACCUAUAAGACUGGGAUAACUUCGGGAAACCGGAGCUAAUACCGGAUAAUAUAUUGAACCGCAUGGUUCAAUAGUGAAAGACGGUUUUGCUGUCACUUAUAGAUGGAUCCGCGCCGCAUUAGCUAGUUGGUAAGGUAACGGCUUACCAAGGCGACGAUGCGUAGCCGAGCUGAGAGGGUGAUCGGCCACACUGGAACUGAGACACGGUCCAGACUCCUACGGGAGGCAGCAGUAGGGAAUCUUCCGCAAUGGGCGAAAGCCUGACGGAGCAACGCCGCGUGAGUGAUGAAGGUCUUCGGAUCGUAAAACUCUGUUAUUAGGGAAGAACAAAUGUGUAAGUAACUAUGCACGUCUUGACGGUACCUAAUCAGAAAGCCACGGCUAACUACGUG
This 497-nucleotide ribosomal RNA is filed under the name uncultured bacterium. RNAcentral describes it as "partial 16S ribosomal RNA". It matches the Rfam family "Bacterial small subunit ribosomal RNA", at positions 28 to 507 of the family's 1533-position model. The record is from RNAcentral.